AGAGUUUGAUCCUGGCUCAGAUUGAACGCUGGCGGCGUGCUUAACACAUGCAAGUCGAACGUGAAAGUCCUUCGGGGCGAGUAAAGUGGCGCACGGGUGAGUAACGCGUGGAUAAUCUACCCUUAAGAUGGGGAUAACGGCUGGAAACGGUCGCUAAUACCGAAUACGCUCCCGAUUUUAUCAUUGGGGGGAAAGAUGGCCUCUGCUUGCAAGCUAUCGCUUAAGGAUGAGUCCGCGUCCCAUUAGCUAGUUGGCGGGGUAACGGCCCACCAAGGCAACGAUGGGUAGCCGGUCUGAGAGGAUGACCGGCCACGCUGGAACUGGAACACGGUCCAGACUCCUACGGGAGGCAGCAGUGGGGAAUAUUGCGCAAUGGGCGAAAGCCUGACGCAGCGACGCCGCGUGAGGGAUGAAGGUUCUCGGAUCGUAAACCUCUGUCAGGGGGGAAGAAACCCCCUCGUGUGAAUAAUGCGAGGGCUUGACGGUACCCCCAAAGGAAGCACCGGCUAACUCCGUGCCAGCAGCCGCGGUAAUACGGAGGGUGCAAGCGUUAAUCGGAAUCACUGGGCGUAAAGCGCACGUAGGCGGCUUGGUAAGUCAGGGGUGAAAUCCCACAGCCCAACUGUGGAACUGCCUUUGAUACUGCCAGGCUUGAGUACCGGAGAGGGUGGCGGAAUUCCAGGUGUAGGAGUGAAAUCCGUAGAUAUCUGGAGGAACACCGGUGGCGAAGGCGGCCACCUGGACGGUAACUGACGCUGAGGUGCGAAAGCGUGGGUAGCAAACAGGAUUAGAUACCCUGUAGUCCACGCUGUAAACGAUGGGUGCUGGGUGCUGGGAUGUAUGUCUCGGUGCCGUAGCUAACGCGAUAAGCACCCCGCCUGGGGAGUACGGUCGCAAGGCUGAAACUCAAAGAAAUUGACGGGGGCCCGCACAGCGGUGGAGU
This 943-nucleotide ribosomal RNA is filed under the name uncultured bacterium. RNAcentral's name for it is "bacterial SSU rRNA". It matches the Rfam family "Bacterial small subunit ribosomal RNA", at positions 8 to 938 of the family's 1533-position model. The record is from RNAcentral.